GAUGAAGAACGCAGCGAAAUGCGAUAAGUAAUGUGAAUUGCAGAAUUCAGUGAAUCAUCGAAUCUUUGAACGCACAUUGCGCCCCUUGGUAUUCCGAGGGGCAUGCCUGUUCGAGCGUCAUUAUAACCCCUCAAGCUCAGCUUGGUGUUGGGGCCUGCUGCACUGGCAGCCCUUAAAAUCAGUGGCGGCGCCAUCUGGCUCUAAGCGUAGCAAUUCUUCUCGCUAUGGAGUCCUGGUGGAUGCUUGCCAUCAACCCCCAAUUUUUCUAUGGUUGACCUCGGAUCAGGUAGGGAUACCCGCUGAACUUAAGCAUAUCAAUAAGCGGAGGA
RNAcentral lists this unclassified non-coding RNA (329 nucleotides) under soil metagenome. RNAcentral's name for it is "partial contains 5.8S ribosomal RNA, internal transcribed spacer 2, and large subunit ribosomal RNA". The stretch from base 1 to 120 matches the Rfam family "5.8S ribosomal RNA", at positions 35 to 154 of the family's 154-position model. The record is from RNAcentral.